GGCGGCGUGCUUAACACAUGCAAGUCGAGCGGAAAGGCCCUUCGGGGUACUCGAGCGGCGAACGGGUGAGUAACACGUGAGUAACCUGCCCUGGACUUUGGGAUAACCCUCGGAAACGGGGGCUAAUACCGAAUACGACACACGUUCGCAUGAAGUCUGUGUGGAAAGUUUUUCGGUCUGGGAUGGACUCGCGGCCUAUCAGCUUGUUGGUGGGGUAAUGGCCUACCAAGGCGACGACGGGUAGCCGGCCUGAGAGGGCGACCGGCCACACUGGGACUGAGACACGGCCCAGACUCCUACGGGAGGCAGCAGUGGGGAAUAUUGCACAAUGGGCGGAAGCCUGAUGCAGCGACGCCGCGUGAGGGAUGACGGCCUUCGGGUUGUAAACCUCUUUCAGCAGGGACGAAGCGCAAGUGACGGUACCUGCAGAAGAAGCGCCGGCCAACUACGUGCCAGCAGCCGCGGUAAGACGUAGGGCGCGAGCGUUGUCCGGAUUUAUUGGGCGUAAAGAGCUCGUAGGCGGCUUGUCGCGUCGAAUGUGAAAACCCGAGGCUCAACCCCGGGCUUGCAGUCGAUACGGGCAGGCUAGAGUUCGGUAGGGGAGACUGGAAUUCCUGGUGUAGCGGUGAAAUGCGCAGAUAUCAGGAGGAACACCGGUGGCGAAGGCGGGUCUCUGGGCCGAUACUGACGCUGAGGAGCGAAAGCGUGGGGAGCGAACAGGAUUAGAUACCCUGGUAGUCCACGCUGUAAACGUUGGGCGCUAGGUGUGGGGACCCUCUCCGGGUUUCUGCGCCGCAGCUAACGCAUUAAGCGCCCCGCCUGGGGAGUACGGCGC
This 835-nucleotide ribosomal RNA is filed under the name Actinoplanes sp. IM-1126. RNAcentral describes it as "bacterial SSU rRNA". It matches the Rfam family "Bacterial small subunit ribosomal RNA", at positions 38 to 888 of the family's 1533-position model. The record is from RNAcentral. Lineage: Bacteria; Bacillati; Actinomycetota; Actinomycetes; Micromonosporales; Micromonosporaceae.